GGCCAGCUUGUCUUGAGUUAACGUUAGCUAGUGGGCCACUUGUCUAAGAAAGAAUACAACAGAAUGACAGAGGAUGCCGUCUUGCUGAACGUUCCUGUCAUUCGGCAGCUGUUUGACUGGGACUGUGGGUUAGCCUGCUCCAGGAUGGUCCUGAAGCACCUCCAUCCAGUCAGUGAUGAGGAGUUUCAGAGAGCAUGCUGGGAGCUCAAGUUGACAGAGAGUGUGUGGAGUAUUGACC
Sander lucioperca (pikeperch) is the source of this 238-nucleotide long non-coding RNA. RefSeq lists it as uncharacterized. The transcript is spliced from 3 exons. The record is from RefSeq and is a predicted model, not a curated record. Lineage: Eukaryota; Metazoa; Chordata; Actinopteri; Perciformes; Percidae.